Molecule: long non-coding RNA, 1505 nt
Filed under: Chloebia gouldiae (Gouldian finch)
Lineage: Eukaryota; Metazoa; Chordata; Aves; Passeriformes; Passeridae
Description: Erythrura gouldiae (Gouldian finch) lncRNA (ENSEGOG00005006299.1)
Source: RNAcentral
AUCGGAGACCCCAAAAUCCUCAGCACAGGAGAAAGAGCUACAAAGAGAGAAUGGAGCAAGGCAGGUCCCAGAGCACUGGUUGUGCUGCUGAGUGUGUGCCAGCGGUGUCAGCUGCCUUACAGCAGCACCUCAGCUACUUCUUCUGCCCUCUGAAUACUUGGGUGAAAAUGACCAAGAUACAAACGGCCCAGGGUGCUCCUGGAAGAGGAAAAGCCAAUUUGUGUUGCUUGAAUGAAGAGGCUGAGGAUAGUGGCCGAGUGUCUGCAUUCAUGUCCUGGGAAAGCAGUUGGAGAUUGAUCCUGAUUUGGUCACCCACUGAUGAGCUAAUUUUUAACACCAACCAUGAACAUCUCACUGCUGGAAUUGCGGUGUGCCCAGUCCUCAGCAAGCAUGUGAGCGAGCGAAUCACUCCAGCAGUGUGGAUCGUUCUUCUGCACCCAUUGUUAUGGAAAUCGCCUUAGAGACUGUUGCUCCAGCAAACAUUUUUAGAAGCACGACAAUUAACUACAAACAAUUGCUUCUCUUGAGUUUGCUCAUGCUCCUCAUCACUGCCUGCUGUGGAGCAGGACCAGCUCUCCAGCCUGUGCCCAGGAGCCCCAAGCAGCCUCAGCUGAUGGAAGGGGAAAGGCACAGAUCCAGUGACCUUUGUUUGCCUCACUGCUGCCACAGUCCCUGCCUGACAUUUGAGGAGUGCUGUAAGUGCUGGAGGGGCCAUGGGGAUGGGGUAUUGGGCAAUGCACGUGAACCUCAUCCUUGCUGGUGGAAUACCAGGCUGAGCUGUGACCCUUCCCUUCCCUCUCAGGAAGUCAGAGUUGACUUUCACAGUGGUAUCUCACCAGGAACCAAGAGCAGGGCACUUCCUGCAGCUCCCUGCUGCCCGGGCAGAGGGACUGACCACAGUUUGUUUGUUCCCAGGACUGUUUUACUGCCCACAGCAAUGGAGCUGGAGCAGGGUGGGCUGUCUGGCUCUGUGGGAUGUUAUACUGCUCGCUGCCAGUGCCAUGAGAUAGGACAAGAGGGAGCUGAUCUGGGAGGGGACAUUGUCAUCCCAGGGGAGAUGCUGGCAAUCAUGAGGUGGUGGCUGUUAAACACUGACCUGUCGGGCCCCCAGCUUGAGCCUGGCUGCUCCCUGGCACCUCCCUGCAGUGCCUGGGGUGGGAAAGGACAGCUCCAUCCCAUGCCUGCCUCCUUUGGCUUUUGCAAGCUGGCUGGUCUUAAUUUCUCCAGGCACUUCCUGCAGGACCACAGUGCUGGGUGCUGCAGAUGUGCUUGAAGACACUGAACACCCUGACCCUUCUGCUGGUAAGCUUCUGUCCAGCUUUGUAGGCAGUGCAGCUGAAAGGGUGUUUUUCUUCCCUGAACCUGGCAAACCCUUUAUCCCAAGGAUCCUUGGCAGUGUUAACUCCCAAACCUCAACCCUCAACAGCCAGAAGCAUGAGAUUAGCAUAAACCCCAAUUUUCUUUUGAUAAAUAAAAUUUGGGGGGCAGGGGGGGGAUGAGAAAGG